Molecule: ribosomal RNA, 497 nt
Filed under: uncultured bacterium
Lineage: Bacteria
Description: partial 16S ribosomal RNA
Rfam family: Bacterial small subunit ribosomal RNA
Source: RNAcentral
GAUGAACGCUGGCGGCGUGCCUAAUACAUGCAAGUCGAGCGAACAGACGAGGAGCUUGCUCCUCUGACGUUAGCGGCGGACGGGUGAGUAACACGUGGAUAACCUACCUAUAAGACUGGGAUAACUUCGGGAAACCGGAGCUAAUACCGGAUAAUAUAUUGAACCGCAUGGUUCAAUAGUGAAAGACGGUUUUGCUGUCACUAAUAGAUGAAUCCGCGCCGCAUUAGCUAGUUGGUAAGGUAACGGCUUACCAAGGCAACGAUGCGUAACCGACCUGAGAGGGUGAUCGGCCACACUGGAACUGAGACACGGUCCAGACUCCUACGGGAGGCAGUAGUAGGGAAUCUUCCGCGAUGGGCGAAAGCCUGACGGAGCAACGCCGCGUGAGUGAUGAAGGUCUUCGGAUCGUAAAACUCUGUUAUUAGGGAAGAACAAAUGUGUAAGUAACUAUGCACGUCUUGACGGUACCUAAACAGAAAGCCACGGCUAACUACGUG